Molecule: ribosomal RNA, 634 nt
Filed under: uncultured bacterium
Lineage: Bacteria
Description: bacterial SSU rRNA
Rfam family: Bacterial small subunit ribosomal RNA
Source: RNAcentral
AAUGAACGCUGGCGGCGUGCUUAACACAUGCAAGUCGUGCGCGAAAGUGACUUCGGUCGCAAGUAGAGCGGCGAACGGGUGCGUAACACGUGGAUAACCUGCCCAGGAGAGGGGGAUAACCCGGGGAAACUCGAGCUAAUACCCCGUACGUUCCUUUGGUUUCGGUCGAAGGAAGAAAGAUGGCCUCUGUAUAUGCUGUCGCUCCUGGAGGGGUCCGCGGUUGAUUAGCUUGUUGGUGGGGUAAUGGCCUACCAAGGCUGCGAUCAAUAGCCGGCCUGAGAGGGUGAUCGACCACACUGGGACUGAGACACGGCCCAGACUCCUACGGGAGGCAGCAGUGGGGAAUAUUGGACAAUGGGCGAAAGCCUGAUCCAGCAACGCCGCGUGGAGGAUGACGGUCCUCGGAUUGUAAACUCCUGUCAGUUGGGACGAAAAGAUCUUGGGUUAAUAGCCCUUGAUCCAUGACGGUACCAGCAGAGGAAGCCCCGGCUAACUCCGUGCCAGCAGCCGCGGUAAUACGGAGGGGGCGAGCGUUAUUCGGAAUUAUUGGGCGUAAAGGGCGCGUAGGCGGCUUGAUAAGUUGUAGGUGAAAGCCCUCGGCUCAACCGAGGAACUGCCUACAAUACUGUCUGGC